UGUGAGGCUUUCCAUGAACUGGGAAACCAUCCCCAGUAGAGGAGGACAGGUCUUCGGUCAAGGGUAUAUGAGUAGCCGCUCUCCCCUGCUAGAACCUCCAAACAAGCUCUGAUGAAUACUCAAAAAUAUUUUCCAAAUUCUGGAAAAAUCAGCUACAGUGAAACAAAUAUGCUCCAAAUUUUGUUAAUAGGAGUAUACUUU
This 201-nucleotide small RNA is filed under the name Pan troglodytes (chimpanzee). RNAcentral's name for it is "7SK RNA (ENSPTRG00000035776.2)". It matches the Rfam family "7SK RNA", at positions 124 to 263 of the family's 331-position model. Rfam says of the family: 7SK was discovered as an abundant small nuclear RNA in the mid-70s but a possible function has only recently been suggested. Two independent studies have found that 7SK RNA binds the CDK9/cyclin T complex (known as elongation factor P-TEFb). P-TEFb activates transcription by phosphorylating the C-terminal domain of RNA polymerase II. The record is from RNAcentral. Lineage: Eukaryota; Metazoa; Chordata; Mammalia; Primates; Hominidae.